CCCAAGGCAAAUCUCUGACUUAUACACAACCCUGACGACACAUACCUCUCAAAUCAACCUCAACUACAUCGCCACAUGGGAACGAGACCUUGGACCACCAGAAGAAGCGAGCGACUGGGCAGAAAUCUGGGAAGCAACGAACUCCCUGACAGUAUGCGUUACGCACAAAGAACAAGCAUACAAAACGUUAUUCCGCUGGUACCUGACACCGCACAGACUCCA
This is a non-coding RNA of Pelobates cultripes (western spadefoot toad), 222 nucleotides long. The record is from the annotation of a GenBank genome assembly. NCBI's taxonomy places the organism in Eukaryota, Metazoa, Chordata, Amphibia, Anura, Pelobatidae.